CGGAUUAGAUACCCUGGUAGUCCACGCCCUAAACGAUGUCAACUAGCUGUUGGGGCCUUCGGGCCUUGGUAGCGCAGCUAACGCGUGAAGUUGACCGCCUGGGGAGUACGGUCGCAAGAUUAAAACUCAAAGGAAUUGACGGGGACCCGCACAAGCGGUGGAUGAUGUGGAUUAAUUCGAUGCAACGCGAAAAACCUUACCUACCCUUGACAUGUCUGGAAUCCCAAAGAGAUUAGGGAGUGCUCGCAAGAGAACCGGAACACAGGUGCUGCAUGGCUGUCGUCAGCUCGUGUCGUGAGAUGUUGGGUUAAGUCCCGCAACGAGCGCAACCCUUGUCAUUAGUUGCUACGAAAGGGCACUCUAAUGAGACUGCCGGUGACAAACCGGAGGAAGGUGGGGAUGACGUCAAGUCCUCAUGGCCCUUAUGGGUAGGGCUUCACACGUCAUACAAUGGUCGGGACAGAGGGUCGCCAACCCGCGAGGGGGAGCCAAUCCCAGAAACCCGAUCGUAGUCCGGAUCGUAGUCUGCAACUCGACUACGUGAAGUCGGAAUCGCUAGUAAUCGCGGAUCAGAAUGUCGCGGUGAAUACGUUCCCGGGUCUUGUACACACCGCCCGU
RNAcentral lists this ribosomal RNA (618 nucleotides) under Achromobacter sp. Iso26. Its description in RNAcentral is "bacterial SSU rRNA". It matches the Rfam family "Bacterial small subunit ribosomal RNA", at positions 774 to 1397 of the family's 1533-position model. Lineage: Bacteria; Pseudomonadati; Pseudomonadota; Betaproteobacteria; Burkholderiales; Alcaligenaceae. The record is from RNAcentral.